Esox lucius (northern pike) is the source of this 1227-nucleotide long non-coding RNA. Lineage: Eukaryota; Metazoa; Chordata; Actinopteri; Esociformes; Esocidae. The record is from Ensembl.
UGAGUUGGUAAAUCUUUAUUCAAUACAGUGUUCACCGUAACACACAUUAUGUUUGCAUUAUUUGUACAGAAAGCAUGUUAUGAUUGCACAUGUCUAAAGCCCAGUUUCCAUUGGCUCAGUGAAUUUUGUAACAGAUUCUUGCCAGGUGAGGGAAAACAACCAGAGGUAAAUAAACCUGUCCACCAAGGUCAAGGUCAAGGUUGAGGUCAAUGUGCCAAUGAUAAGGGAGCUAAAGUUUUUCUCAGCUGUGUAGUAUUAAGAUACACUAUAUUACCAUGAAAUGCUGCUACAGUAGAUGACAAAUAUUAGCCUGGUCAUAGAGCCGUGAGAUCAUGCCAAUUCUGUUAGUCACUGUCACGCUAAACACGGACUGACAGUAAGUGGCAAAGGAGUUGGAAUGAGUGCACAAACAGACUGGCACUCAGGCCACUAAAACAUUGUCCAGAUUGUCCUGAUUUUCUUCACAAUACUGCCUACUCUUGGGCAAUAGAAGGCUGGCACUGUCCUAAAAAUAGCCUGCGUUUACACAGGCAGAUACUGAUCUUUAGCCCAUCUGAUGACGGCGAUGCAGAUGGGAAAGUGGCUGCGAUGCGGCAGAGAAAAGACUUGUUCGUGGGGGAAAAAAAAGAUCAAAAGAUCACAAAUGGACAGCCUGGGUAAAUACAACCGGGAUGCGGCAGACAUUAUGAACUCUGUUUUACAUCGAAUGUAUCACCUACUAUGCUGUCAACUGACUUCCAGAAACUGUUACGGGGAUUGGUUGCACUUUUGUUUUGGCGCAAAGAUUUACCAAUAAGUGCUGUAGUGUUACACCAGCCUCACCCAUGAUACAUUGUCACUUUCUUUCUCUGUCUGUAUUUAUAUAUAUGCAUUUAUAAAUCUAUUAACAGUAUAUACUUUAUAUGAGGAGAAUAUAUACAGUAUACGUAUCGUGUUUGGACUGUUCGCAUUCACAAAAACAUAUGGUCCAUUUUUACAAUAUUGAAAAAUACCUAGAACCUUUUGCCCAGGAUAAUCUGUUACGUUCUUGCUGAAACAUCUAUCAUCUGUCAUUGUGUACAGUCCAAUACUCUUACUACAGUUCACUUUUAAUUCACUGGACCUGGUCCAACCUCAUCCAUCAGUUUACUCCUAAUUCAUUGGACCUGCACCAACCAUCCAUCAGCCAUCCAUAAAACCGCAAGCAAUGUGCUGUGUUCACAAAAUAUAUUCUCAUUACUCCCCGAG